Molecule: microRNA precursor, 208 nt
Organism: Oryza sativa Japonica Group (Japanese rice)
Lineage: Eukaryota; Viridiplantae; Streptophyta; Magnoliopsida; Poales; Poaceae
Rfam family: MIR812 microRNA precursor family
Source: Rfam
AAAAAGGCAAACCAUGGGUUUCCGUGUCCAACUUUGACUGUCCGUCUUAUAUGAAAUUUUUUUAUAAUUCGUAUUUUUCAUUGUUUGUUAGAUGAUAAAACAUUAUUAAUAUUUUAUGCGUAACUUGUCUUUUUAUUUUUUUUCAUAAUUUUUUCAAAUAAGACGGACGGUCAAACGUUGGGCACGGAAACCAGUGUUUGUCUUUUUU